GGUGAGUAAUACAUAGGAAUCUACCCAAUGGAGGGGGAUAGCUCGAGGAAACUCGAAUUAAUACCGCAUAAUCUCCACGGAGUAAAGAGGGCUUCGGCUCUCGCCAUCGGAUGAGCCUAUGCAGGAUUAGCUUGUUGGUGAGGUAAAGGCUUACCAAGGCGACGAUCCUUAGCUGGUUUGAGAGGAUGACCAGCCACAUCGGGACUGAGACACGGCCCGGACUUCUACGGAAGGCAGCAGUAGGGAAUAUUGGACAAUGAGCGAAAGCUUGAUCCAGCCAUGCCGCGUGUGCGAUGACGGCCCUCGGGUUGUAAAGCACUUUAGGUAACGAGGAAAAGUUAGGUGUUAAUACCAUCUAACCUUGACGUUAA
RNAcentral lists this ribosomal RNA (371 nucleotides) under uncultured bacterium. RNAcentral's name for it is "bacterial SSU rRNA". It matches the Rfam family "Bacterial small subunit ribosomal RNA", at positions 105 to 478 of the family's 1533-position model. The record is from RNAcentral.